Perognathus longimembris pacificus (Pacific pocket mouse) is the source of this 150-nucleotide long non-coding RNA. RefSeq lists it as uncharacterized. The transcript is spliced from 3 exons. NCBI's taxonomy places the organism in Eukaryota, Metazoa, Chordata, Mammalia, Rodentia, Heteromyidae. The record is from RefSeq and is a predicted model, not a curated record.
AAUGGAAAGCUUUUUCAAGAAACUUAACUAGUAAGAAUUUACAACAGGUGCAUAUCACACAUUGCAUUCCAGGCAGAAAAGCUACACAGGAACUCGAUGAAUGAAUCCCAUACCUUACUUCCCCAAGCGUCUCAGGUUGUGCAUUUCUCU